UCAAAACAGCGGACUUCGGUCGCUGCCGCCGGCACCGCUCUUACCUUUGCGCACCGUAUUGUUGCUUCCUCGGCGGGCUUGCCUGCCGGUUGGACAUUAUCAAAACCUUUGUAUAGUAGCAUGCAGCUCGAGAAAACGAGAAUUAGUA
This 148-nucleotide unclassified non-coding RNA is filed under the name soil metagenome. RNAcentral's name for it is "partial internal transcribed spacer 1". The record is from RNAcentral.